Molecule: unclassified non-coding RNA, 254 nt
Filed under: Hevea brasiliensis (rubber tree)
Lineage: Eukaryota; Viridiplantae; Streptophyta; Magnoliopsida; Malpighiales; Euphorbiaceae
Source: RNAcentral
ACACCCUUCUGAACUGCAAGUUGAUCUCUUUCACUAGUUUUUCUGCUGCUUCCUCAAAAUCAUAUGGUUUGAACAUCACCUUUUCGUCUACUUGUUCAAGGAAUUCCUCUACCCAUGCUUCUGAGCCUUCUGAUACCAAGUCGCUAUCGCAAUCACCGUCGUUGGGUCCAUCUUCAACCUCUUCUAAUGGGAGAUUCAAGUCUAGGAAGGACAUUGAUGAUGAUGAUGUCUUCUUCAGCUCAGUGGAUUCGUCG